Molecule: ribosomal RNA, 1503 nt
Filed under: metagenome
Description: bacterial LSU rRNA
Rfam family: Bacterial large subunit ribosomal RNA
Source: RNAcentral
UAUCAGAAGUGAAAAUGUUGACAUGAGUAGCGACAAACAGGGUGAGAGACCCUGUCGCCGAAAGUCCAAGGGUUCCUGCUUAAAGCUAAUCUGAGCAGGGUAAGCCGGCCCCUAAGGCGAGGCCGAAAGGCGUAGUCGAUGGGAACCAGGUUAAUAUUCCUGGGCCAGGAGAUGGUGACGGAUCGCAGAGGUAGUUCUUCCUUAUCGGAUUGGAAGGGCUGCUGAGUGGUUCCUGGAAAUAGCCCUCCAUGAGACCGUACCCUAAACCGACACAGGUGGACUGGUAGAGAAUACCAAGGCGCUUGAGAGAACCACAUUUAAGGAACUCGGCAAAAUACCUCCGUAAGUUCGCGAGAAGGAGGCCCCGUUUGUACGCAAGUAUGGGCGGGGGGCACAAACCAGGGGGUGGCGACUGUUUACUAAAAACACAGGGCUCUGCGAAGCCGUAAGGCGACGUAUAGGGUCUGACGCCUGCCCGGUGCCGGAAGGUUAAAAGGAGAUGUGCAAGCAUUGAAUUGAAGCCCCGGUAAACGGCGGCCGUAACGAUAACGGUCCUAAGGUAGCGAAAUUCCUUGUCGGGUAAGUUCCGACCUGCACGAAUGGCGUAACGACUUCCCCGCUGUCUCAAAUGUGGACUCAGCGAAAUUGAAUUGUCUGUGAAGAUGCAGACUUCCCGCGGUUAGACGGAAAGACCCCAUGCACCUUUACUAUAGCUUCGCACUGGCAUCAGGAUUGUGAUGUGCAGGAUAGGUGGUAGGCAUUGAAACCGGGACGCCAGUUCCGGUGGAGCCAUCCUUGAGAUACCACCCUUCGCACUCUUGAUGUCUAACCGCGGCCCGUUAUCCGGGUCCGGGACCCUGCGUGGUGGGUAGUUUGACUGGGGCGGUCGCCUCCCAAAGAGUAACGGAGGCGCGCGAAGGUUGGCUCAGAGCGGUCGGAAAUCGCUCGUUGAGUGCAAUGGCAGAAGCCAGCCUGACUGCAAGACUGACAAGUCGAGCAGAGACGAAAGUCGGCCAUAGUGAUCCGGUGGUCCCGAGUGGAAGGGCCAUCGCUCAACGGAUAAAAGGUACGCUGGGGAUAACAGGCUGAUGAUGCCCAAGAGUCCAUAUCGACGGCAUCGUUUGGCACCUCGAUGUCGGCUCAUCUCAUCCUGGGGCUGGAGCAGGUCCCAAGGGUAUGGCUGUUCGCCAUUUAAAGAGGUACGUGAGCUGGGUUUAGAACGUCGUGAGACAGUUCGGUCCCUAUCUGCCGUGGGUGUAGGAUACUUGAGAGGAGUUGCCCCUAGUACGAGAGGACCGGGGUGAACGUUCCACUGGUGGACCAGUUGUCGUGCCAACGGCAGUGCUGGGUAGCUAUGAACGGACAGGAUAAACGCUGAAGGCAUCUAAGCGUGAAGCCCCCCUCAAAACAAGGUAUCCCUUGAGAGCCGUGGAAGACCACCACGUCGAUAGGCCGGAGAUGUAAGCGCAGCAAUGCGUUCAGUUGACCGGUACUAAUGGCUCC